This is a non-coding RNA of Morus notabilis, 104 nucleotides long. Lineage: Eukaryota; Viridiplantae; Streptophyta; Magnoliopsida; Rosales; Moraceae. The record is from Rfam.
AGACCAUGAUGAGGACAUCUUCUCAGCAGUUCCUCGUAUCUCUCCCAUGCUUCAUAUAGUGUUUCACCUUCAUAUUGAGCAAAAUUAUUGAUCUCAUUGCGCAU